Molecule: RNA transcript, 3363 nt
Organism: Panicum virgatum (switchgrass)
Lineage: Eukaryota; Viridiplantae; Streptophyta; Magnoliopsida; Poales; Poaceae
Gene name: carotene epsilon-monooxygenase, chloroplastic-like
Exons: 11
Source: RefSeq, a predicted model, not a curated record
CUCCUGAUCCAGCGCUCCACUGGCCACUGCUCCCGAGUCCCCGACGCCCCAAAUCCCCCGAUCCGGCGAUCCCCUCCACCCGCCUCUCCCCAGCUCGGCAGUCCCAAUCCGGUGAUCCCACACCCUAGCCGGAGGCAUCGGCCGGCGCGCGCGAUGCCCACCGCCGCCUUCGCCCCCGCCUCCGCGUCGCCGCCUCCGUGGUCUACUCGUCCGCCUCCUCGCCGCGCCCGCGUCCGUCUUCCUCCGCCGAGGAGCGGGAGCAGCAGCGAUGGGGGCCGGGGCGACGAGCCCACGACGGCCACCCCGUGGGUGAGCCCCGACUGGCUCACGUCGCUCUCGCGCGCGGUCGGCCGCGGCGGCGCCGACGACUCGGGGAUCCCCGUCGCGUCCGCCAAGCUCGACGACGUGCGGGACCUCCUCGGCGGCGCGCUCUUCCUGCCGCUCUUCAAGUGGUUCCGCGAGGAAGGGCCCGUGUACCGCCUCGCCGCGGGGCCGCGGGACUUCGUCAUAGUCAGCGACCCCGCCAUCGCCAAGCACGUGCUUCGCGGGUAUGGGUCGCGCUACGAGAAGGGGCUCGUCGCCGAGGUCUCCGAGUUUCUCUUCGGGUCCGGGUUCGCCACCGCGGAGGGCGCGCUAUGGACGGUGAGACGCAGAGCUGUUGUGCCAUCCCUGCACAAAAGAUUUCUUUCUAUUAUGGUGGAAAAGGUAUUUUGUAAAUGUGCCGAGAGAUUAAUAGAGAAACUUGAGCCAUAUGCUUCGAGUGGGGAACCUGUCAAUAUGGAAGCGAGGUUUUCUCAGUUGACAUUGGACGUGAUUGGUUUAUCAUUGUUCAACUACAAUUUUGAUUCCCUCACAACAGAUAGUCCUGUCAUCGAUGCUGUUUAUACUGCACUCAAAGAAACAGAACUUCGUUCUACGGAUCUUUUACCAUACUGGAAGAUUGACUUUCUGUGCAAAAUAAUUCCAAGACAGAUAAAAGCAGAGAAUGCAGUUAAGAUCAUAAGGAACACUGUCGAAGAGUUAAUUGUGAAGUGUAAAGAAAUUGUUGAGGCUGAAAAUGAACAGAUUGAGGGUGAGGAAUAUGUAAAUGAGGGGGAUCCUAGCAUUCUACGCUUCCUGCUUGCUAGCCGAGAUGAGGUAAGCAGUGUACAGUUACGUGAUGAUCUCCUAUCAAUGUUAGUUGCUGGUCAUGAAACAACAGGCUCUGUACUGACAUGGACAAUCUAUCUUCUCAGUAAGGAACCGACUGCACUAAGGAGAGCUCAAGAUGAGGUAGAUCGUGUUCUGCAAGGUCGACUCCCCAGAUAUGAGGAUGUAAAGGAGCUAAAGUACUUGAUGCGCUGUAUAAAUGAGUCUAUGAGGCUAUAUCCACACCCUCCUGUGCUGAUACGGCGUGCAAUAGUUGAUGACGUGCUUCCAGGGAACUAUAAGGUUAAGGCUGGUCAAGAUAUUAUGAUAUCCGUGUACAAUAUACACAGGUCCCCUGAGGUAUGGGAUAGAGCAGAUGAGUUUGUUCCAGAGAGAUUUGAUCUAGAGGGACCCGUUCCAAAUGAGUCGAAUACUGAUUUCAGGUUUAUCCCGUUCAGUGGGGGCCCUCGGAAAUGUGUUGGAGAUCAAUUUGCUCUCCUAGAAGCAAUAGUGGCACUUGCAAUUGUGUUGCAGAAGAUGGAUAUUCAGCUUGUGCCAAAUCAAAAGAUAAACAUGACCACUGGAGCUACAAUUCAUACAACCAAUGGACUGUACAUGAAUGUAAGCAUGCGUAAAGUUCAGCAAGAAGCUGAGUUAGCACUAAGGUUAUAAGAGCAUCUCCAGCAGCCCCCCAUUCCCAAUAAACUUCUACUAUUGGAAAAAGAAUAUGCUCCAGCAGUUCCUCAAUACAUCUCCCUUUCCCCAAUUUACAUGUAUUUCAAUUUUGCCCUUAUGCCUAAAUUGAAAUACAUGUAAAUUGAAAUACUUUGCUGCGCUGGCCGGUGGCUUGCCGCGCGGGUCGAUGCCGGCCGCGGCGCACCUGCCACCGGCCUUCCCGCGCCGGUCGACGGCCUUGCCACGCCAGUCGACGAGUGCUGCAGCGCGCCGGCACCUCCCGCCUCGAUGGCGAGCGACGCGGAGCCAAGGGGCUGCUGCCCUAACUGCAGCGCGCAGACGACCUUCAGAAGCACGAACGCCCCUCGUCGCCUACUACUGUGAGCAUGUUGGACGAUGCUGGCGCAUGGUUCCGGCGAGACGCUGAAGCUAGACGAUGCUGCUAGCGUGCUGCUGCCGCCGGACAAGAUAACAAAUUCCCAGAAGCAAAGUAUUUUAUCUACGACAGAAUCAAGCGAAGGCUCUCAGUUUCAUCUUCAACGGAAUCAAGCAUCAUGUGGCCAGCAUAAACACAAAUGAGCUCAUCUCUUCUCUAUCUCUACUACUAAAAAGAACGAUUGGGAGAAAAAACUUUGGUGCGACCCUGACCCACUAACUGCCGUGGCUCUGCCAUGCAAUGUAUUGCAUCCGUCGGAUCGAAACAGCCCUCCGUGCGAUCCCAGCGGCCAGCGGCACCUUCCCAAUCGCACGCCAUCCUCACGAGGGCACGAUCCCACCCACUCCCACGACGCACGCAAUCUCCGCGCGUGAAGCUCGCUUCCCCGCGAUCUCGUCACGCUGCCCUCCGCGCUCCCAUCGCGCUGCCUGCCGGAGUCCUCGUCAGCGCCGCCGCCACCGAUCCGGACGACCGCGCCACACGCCCAGCUCCGUCCCCGGCCGCCGUCCGCGCCACCGCUCCCCAUCCCCGUCCACAGUACGCAACGGCCGCUGCGCCGCCACCGGCGUUGGCGAUCCGCGCCGCCGGCCACUCCGUCCCCGUCCACCGUACGCGACGGCCGCUGCGCCGCCCCCGGCUCCGCCGAACCGCGCCGCCGGCAACUCCGCUGCUGCGACCCCCCCCCCCCUCCCCACGUCGCGGCGCCGCUGUCGCCGGCGAUCCGUCCCCGGACGCUGGCCGAUCCGCACCGCCGCCGGAGGCCGAGGGCGCGGGCUUCAACUUCACCAACGUUCUCAACCUCGACGUCUACUGACUCCAACAUCCACUACAAGAGACGGAUGGCCGUACUAUGCGUAAAAACUUCAUCAUCAAUGUGUUGGUGUCAGAAUUGAAUGCUUACCGGAAAGUACUUCUACAGACAUAAAAAAUUAUCUUAGUGGCAUCAUAGGUAGGGAUAUAAAAUAGAAUCCCUUAUACAUUUUCUUGCAUAUUUAGUUGGCCUUGGACAUCAAUAUGUUACCUUUUUGCGAGACCAAAUUUGUACUUGAAUGGAUACAUAAGUGUGGAUGACGUGUAAUGACUUUCUUAUAUUGAAUAUUUACGUGCGAUCUAUUUGCGCUUUU